RNAcentral lists this ribosomal RNA (434 nucleotides) under uncultured bacterium. RNAcentral describes it as "partial 16S ribosomal RNA". It matches the Rfam family "Bacterial small subunit ribosomal RNA", at positions 29 to 508 of the family's 1533-position model. The record is from RNAcentral.
AACGAACGCUGGCGGCAUGCCUAACACAUGCAAGUCGAACGAGACCUUCGGGUCUAGUGGCGCACGGGUGCGUAACGCGUGGGAACCUGCCCUUAGGUUCGGAAUAACUCCCCGAAAGGGGUGCUAAUACCGGAUAAUGUCUUCGGACCAAAGAUUUAUCGCCUUUGGAUGGGCCCGCGUUGGAUUAGCUAGUUGGUAAGGUAAAAGCCUACCAAGGCGACGAUCCAUAGCUGGUCUGAGAGGAUGAUCAGCCACACUGGGACUGAGACACGGCCCAGACUCCUACGGGAGGCAGCAGUGGGGAAUAUUGGACAAUGGGCGAAAGCCUGAUCCAGCAAUGCCGCGUGAGUGAUGAAGGCCUUAGGGUUGUAAAGCUCUUUUACCCGGGAUGAUAAUGACAGUACCGGGAGAAUAAGCUCCGGCUAACUCCGUGC